UGAGGAAUAUUGGUCAAUGGGCGAGAGCCUGAACCAGCCAAGUAGCGUGCAGGAUGACGGCCCUAUGGGUUGUAAACUGCUUUUAUGUGGGGAUAAAGUGCGUGACGUGUCAUGCAUUGCAGGUACCACAUGAAUAAGGACCGGCUAAUUCCGUGCCAGCAGCCGCGGUAAUACGGAAGGUCCGGGCGUUAUCCAGAUUUAUUGGGUUUAAAGGGAGCGUAGGCUGUCUAUUAAGCGUGUUGUGAAAUAUACCGGCUCAACCGGUGGCUUGCAGCGCGAACUGGUCGACUUGAGUAUGCAGGAAGUAGGCGGAAUUCAUGGUGUAGCGGUGAAAUGCUUAGAUAUCAUGACGAACUCCGAUUGCGCAGGCAGCUUACUGUAGCAUAACUGACGCUGAUGCUCGAAAGUGCGGGUAUCAAACAGG
Molecule: ribosomal RNA, 424 nt
Filed under: Fusobacteriota bacterium
Lineage: Bacteria; Fusobacteriati; Fusobacteriota
Description: Fusobacteria bacterium partial 16S ribosomal RNA
Rfam family: Bacterial small subunit ribosomal RNA
Source: RNAcentral